AGAGCACUCCUACGGGAGGCAGCAUGGGGAAUAUUGCACAAUGGGCGCAAGCCUGAUGCAGCCAUGCCGCGUGUAUGAAGAAGGCCUUCGGGUUGUAAAGUACUUUCAGCAGUGAGGAAGGUGGAUAUGUUAAUAGCAUAUUCAUUUGACGUUAGCUGCAGAAGAAGCACCGGCUAACUCCCGUGCCAGCAGCCGCGGUAAUACGGAGGGUGCGAGCGUUAAUCGGAAUUACUGGGCGUAAAGCGCAUGCAGGUGGUUUGUUAAGUCAGAUGUGAAAGCCCGGGGCUCAACCUCGGAAUUGCAUUUGAAACUGGCAAACUAGAGUACUGUAGAGGGGGUAGAAUUUCAGGUGUAGCGGUGAAAUGCGUAGAGAUCUGAAGGAAUACCGGUGGCGAAGGCGGCCCCCUGGACAGAUACUGACACUCAGAUGCGAAAGCGUGGGGAGCAAACAGGAUUAGAUACCCUGGUAG
This 470-nucleotide ribosomal RNA is filed under the name uncultured bacterium. Its description in RNAcentral is "bacterial SSU rRNA". It matches the Rfam family "Bacterial small subunit ribosomal RNA", at positions 330 to 793 of the family's 1533-position model. The record is from RNAcentral.